CGCGUAGGCGGCUUUGCAAGUCGGGUGUGAAAUCCCCAGGCUUAACCUGGGAACUGCUCUCGAGACUGCAUCGCUAGAGUAUGGGAGAGGGAAGUGGAAUUUCAGGUGUAGCGGUGAAAUGCGUAGAUAUCUGAAGGAACAUCAGUGGCGAAAGCGACUUCCUGGACCAAUACUGACGCUCAUGUGCGAAAGCGUGGGGAGCAAACA
RNAcentral lists this ribosomal RNA (207 nucleotides) under uncultured bacterium. Its description in RNAcentral is "partial 16S ribosomal RNA". It matches the Rfam family "Bacterial small subunit ribosomal RNA", at positions 568 to 774 of the family's 1533-position model. The record is from RNAcentral.